UUUCUCCAUAUGAACACAUUUGUUACAUACUUGAUGGAUUAAAUGAAGAAUAUCAACCGGUGAUAACCACAAUUGAAAGACAUAUGGAUUUACCAACUGUUCAUAACCUAGAAUCGUUCUUGUUAACAUUUGAGU
Molecule: small nucleolar RNA, 135 nt
Organism: Lupinus angustifolius (narrow-leaved blue lupine)
Lineage: Eukaryota; Viridiplantae; Streptophyta; Magnoliopsida; Fabales; Fabaceae
Rfam family: Small nucleolar RNA Z247
About the family: Z247 is a member of the C/D class of snoRNA which contain the C (UGAUGA) and D (CUGA) box motifs.
Source: Rfam